Molecule: non-coding RNA, 89 nt
Organism: Selaginella moellendorffii
Lineage: Eukaryota; Viridiplantae; Streptophyta; Lycopodiopsida; Selaginellales; Selaginellaceae
Source: Rfam
GGGUCUUGGGAUAUUUGGGGUUAAGCGUCCUUGGGUUUGAAUAGUACUGGGCUGGGUGACCUCCCGGGAAGUCCAAAACUCAGGAGCUU